AGAAUGAUAGAAAAAAGAUUGCGCAAUGCGCAUGUUUGCUUUCAGUCAGCUGUUCUUGGUGACGUCACGGUUGACUUGAAAGAAAUUUGCAGUUUGAAAUGGGUUUAAGUUCGCGGAGUCUAACAAAGUUGCUACCUAGCGCUUUUCUCACGUUAACCAGAUUAACUCCUGAAGAGGCUAAUGAACGGCAGAAAAGGAUGGAGUCUCGUUUAAACCACUGUUUCUUAUCCUAAUUGCAAUAUUUUUCAACGUGUGUCAGUUGAUCUAAAUUCCACUGACCCAAUUGAAAAAAAUGAUGACUUGAAGAUUCUCAACAACGACGGGCUUGAAAAUUUGGCAGGGUACAUCUGCCACAAACUUAGUAAAGACAACCCCGAAAUUUGUGCCAAUUCAGAAAAUUGUUCGUCUUAUACCUGGGUGGAUCACCUUUCUGAAGGAGGACUCUCAAAACCAACAGAUAUGUUGAUGGAGCAUAUGAGAGCCUUGCAAGCAGUAUUUGACGAUGUAAAUGGUACUAAUUUGCAUAUAUGUACAAAUUACCACCAGAAACACUUAGAUUUAAGUAAUUUUGUAAAUUGUAGCUCGAAAGUAAAAAAAUAAUUGUUUUUCAGAGCAAGAAUGUAUUUUAGGAUUCGUUCCUUAAAUAAAAACUUUAUCGAACACAUGUAUAGCAAAAAAAGAAAAUUAAAUAAGACAAUAAAUUGAUACUCGGUCACAAAAUAUUCAAUCUUUUUAUUUGCAUAAAUGUACAUACAUAUAUGGUUGAAACAAACACAGCAAAGAGACAAACUUAAAUAAUACAAUGAAAACACAAUUAAAUGAAUAUGUAGGUAAAUGUUCACUAUUAAAUAUUCACUUAUAUUGAUAUCUUUUAUUAAUAUUCACUUAUAUUGAUGUUAAAUUUGAUGAUAUUCAUGAUUUUGUAUGCCUGCAAUACAAAAUUGCUUCUUAUUGCAAAGAAAAACAAGCAACCGAAAA
Molecule: long non-coding RNA, 978 nt
Organism: Bactrocera neohumeralis
Lineage: Eukaryota; Metazoa; Arthropoda; Insecta; Diptera; Tephritidae
Exons: 3
Source: RefSeq, a predicted model, not a curated record